RNAcentral lists this ribosomal RNA (465 nucleotides) under uncultured Klebsiella sp. RNAcentral's name for it is "bacterial SSU rRNA". It matches the Rfam family "Bacterial small subunit ribosomal RNA", at positions 338 to 795 of the family's 1533-position model. Lineage: Bacteria; Pseudomonadati; Pseudomonadota; Gammaproteobacteria; Enterobacterales; Enterobacteriaceae. The record is from RNAcentral.
CCUACGGGCGGCAGCAGUGGGGAAUAUUGCACAAUGGGCGCGAGCCUGAUGCAGCCAUGCCGCGUGUGUGAAGAAGGCCUUUGGGUUGUAAAGCACUUUCAGCGGGGAGGAAGGCGGUGAGGUUAAUAACCUCAUCGAUUGACGUUACCCGCAGAAGAAGCACCGGCUAACUCCGUGCCAGCAGCCGCGGUAAUACGGAGGGUGCAAGCGUUAAUCGGAAUUACUGGGCGUAAAGCGCACGCAGGCGGUCUGUCAAGUCGGAUGUGAAAUCCCCGGGCUCAACCUGGGAACUGCAUUCGAAACUGGCAGGCUAGAGUCUUGUAGAGGGGGGUAGAAUUCCAGGUGUAGCGGUGAAAUGCGUAGAGAUCUGGAGGAAUACCGGUGGCGAAGGCGGCCCCCUGGACAAAGACUGACGCUCAGGUGCGAAAGCGUGGGGAGCAAACAGGAUUAGAUACCCGUGUAGUC